Molecule: long non-coding RNA, 884 nt
Filed under: Mytilus galloprovincialis (Mediterranean mussel)
Lineage: Eukaryota; Metazoa; Mollusca; Bivalvia; Mytilida; Mytilidae
Source: RNAcentral
GUCGAGUUUCUUUGAGAGGUACAAGGCCGAUUAUAAGUCUAGUUCGGUAAGUCACAUUCGAUGAAUUUGAUUUUUUUUGGGUCAAAAUCUGGGGACCAAAUGUAUAUUUUUAGCUGCAUUAAAAUAUUCGGAUUUUUACUCUACAUUAAUCUACAAGAAAGUGUUGCUUUCUACUUUUACAAUUUUAAUCAUGAUUUUCUCCCUUUCUAACCUUUCCUUCAUAUCAAGUUCUGUCUGUCAUAAUGCAAAUUCGUCUUCUUUUUCUACUUGUUUUAAUCUAACUUUGUUCAUGUUCUAAUUCAAGCUGUGUUAAUGUUAUAGAGUCAAUGUUUUCGACCUUAACUUCAAGUGCCUUUAACUUAUAGCUAUAAAAAAACACAAAUCAAUAUACAAUGUAAUGAAAUGUAACCAGAUUUAUUAUACAAUUUUACAAAAAAGUUAUACAAAAAGAAGUGUCAACUUAACUGUAAAAAAUAUCUGUCCAAUCCUUUGAUUUUUCUUUAUCCAGAAUUCUUGUCUUAAAUCUUACAGAAUAUAUCCAAUAUAAAGUUCACUAGUAUGAUGUAAUUGAUGUCUGUUAGUCUAAUUCGGUAUCUGUGUAUAAAUAUAGUUAUCAAGAAAACUUCUAGAACACUGUUAAAGAGACUCUGCAGAAUGGAAAGUUCGAGAAUAUUACAUAAGAUAAAAUUACUCAUUCAUUAACUAUGAUCAUUCAGACGUUGUUUUGUAAGUCAAAUAGAAAGUUCCAAUCAUUCCAUCAGUAUCUAUGUUUGUUCCCCAGUGAUUUCUUAACUGCACAAUAAUAACAUAUGAAAUAACUAUUUAAAGGUCUUAAGGCUAUACAAAACAAAUUAGGCCAAGAUAAAUUAACAUGACAAUAACAA